CCGUGUAUACAUACCUUUGUUGCUUUGGCAGGCCGCCUUUUAGGCGUCGGCUCCGGCUGACUGCGCCUGCCAGAGGACCCAAACUCAUUUGUUUAGUGAUGUCUGAGUACUAUGUAAUAGUUAAAACUUUCAACAACGGAUCUCUUGGUUCUGGCAUCGAUGAAGAACGCAGCGAAAUGCGAUAAGUAAUGUGAAUUGCAGAAUUCAGUGAAUCAUCGAAUCUUUGAACGCACAUUGCGCCCCUUGGUAUUCCGAGGGGCAUGCCUGUUCGAGCGUCAUUAUAACCACUCAAGCCUCGGCUUGGUCUUGGGGUUCGCGGUCUCGCGUCCCUUAAAAUCAAUGGCGGUGCCGUCUGGCUCUAAGCGUAGUAAUUCUCUCGCUAUAGGGUCCCGGCGGUUGCCUGCCAGAACCCCCCCAUUUUUUACGGUUGACCUCGGAUCAUGUAGGGAUACCCGCUGAACUUAAGAA
RNAcentral lists this unclassified non-coding RNA (468 nucleotides) under uncultured Meliniomyces. RNAcentral's name for it is "sequence contains ITS1, 5.8S rRNA gene and ITS2". The stretch from base 125 to 278 matches the Rfam family "5.8S ribosomal RNA". The record is from RNAcentral. Lineage: Eukaryota; Fungi; Ascomycota; Leotiomycetes; Helotiales; Helotiaceae.